RNAcentral lists this long non-coding RNA (651 nucleotides) under Cricetulus griseus (Chinese hamster). RNAcentral describes it as "lncRNA (ENSCGRG00015036300.1)". The record is from RNAcentral. Lineage: Eukaryota; Metazoa; Chordata; Mammalia; Rodentia; Cricetidae.
AAGAAAGAAGAAGAAGAAGAGGAGGAGGAGGAGGAGGAGGAGGAGGAGGCUGGAAGAUGAGAUGGGAUUACUAACUCUAUGAAGCAAAGGCACAGAGGUGCUAGAAGAGGAUUGUAAUGAUGGAUCUUUCUGCCAGCCGCCUGAGUUCCACCCGCUACAACGUUAAAGUCCCAAGUAACACAGAGAGACUUACAUUAGGACACUGGCGGAAUGCAUCCUGUCUUCCUGGCGAUCACAUGACGACUCCACAGAGAAGAGAGGAGAAGGAAGAGAAAGAGCGUGAUUUCCUGCUUGUCCCUGUUUAUAUUCUGAGUCUGCCUACUAUGUCACUUCCUGCCUGGAUCACAAGACUUCUCUUUACUACAUUUCCCAAAAUCCUCCUUGACUCCUAGUCCCACCUAACUUGCUUCUUCAUUUCCCAACAGUACUUUAUUCAACAACCAAUAAGAUAAACAUACAUAGAAGGACUUGCCCUAUCAGAGGAUGCUUGCAGCAACCAAGAUAGUGACAGAGAAUGGCUGUCACAUAUGGCACUUAGAGUUUGUUACCAAUAUAAGAAACUCUUUCUCGAUAUUAUAUGUAAUGGAUACUCAUUAGAACAAACACAAACUCUCUUUCAAAAGUUUGUCUUUGUGCAUAUGUAUAUUUGUA